UUCCUAGUAACUCAAAGGUAGAGUAGUGGACUGUUAAUCCAUUAGUUCUUGGUUCGAAUCCAAGCUAGGGAG
Molecule: transfer RNA, 72 nt
Filed under: Candidatus Vidania fulgoroideorum
Lineage: Bacteria; Pseudomonadati; Pseudomonadota; Betaproteobacteria
Description: tRNA-Asn
Rfam family: tRNA
About the family: Transfer RNA (tRNA) molecules are approximately 80 nucleotides in length. Their secondary structure includes four short double-helical elements and three loops (D, anti-codon, and T loops). Further hydrogen bonds mediate the characteristic L-shaped molecular structure. tRNAs have two regions of fundamental functional importance: the anti-codon, which is responsible for specific mRNA codon recognition, and the 3' end, to which the tRNAs corresponding amino acid is attached (by aminoacyl-tRNA synthetases). tRNAs cope with the degeneracy of the genetic code in two manners: having more than one tRNA (with a specific anti-codon) for a particular amino acid; and 'wobble' base-pairing, i.e. permitting non-standard base-pairing at the 3rd anti-codon position.
Source: RNAcentral